AGUCCUAACCACUUUAAAAGUAGGGUGGAUGGUUAUAGCUUUGGACAUGUUGAGUUUAAGGCGCAGGGUAUCCCAAGUUUAGCUCUUGUAUAAUUAAGUUAGCAGAAAAUACAGACCUAAUCCUAGGCCAGGGAACUAGGACUGGUGUUAGAUCUGAGCGAGAUCAGCAUAGAAGUGAUAGUGGAGAAAGGAAAUUGAGAAGUGAGGACUGAACCCUGUGGUGGAAAUUCAGAGUUAAUCAAGGCAAGAGGAAAGUUGGGAUAAUGGGGUGUUGCAGUUAAAGGAAGUCAGGUUUUAGGAGGAGGUAAUAGCUAUUCCAGAGAGAGAAAAGGAAUGAGACUUUAAGGCUUUGGACUUUGGCUGGAAUAGAGUUCAGUAUACAGUCCUACUUAGUAAGUCACUUUUGACUCAGUGAUAUGUCCUGAGGGCAGUCUGGUGAGGGAAUAAGGAUAUAGAAUUAAAGGAUAGGCAGAGAUCAGAUUUUUGGAGUUCCUCAUAUAUAUAUGAAACUUUGCUUUUUUGAUGUGUAAUUAGGGAGGGGCAUUGGUUUUCAUAGCAAAGAAACGACACCAUGAAACUGUAGAGGAGUGACUGAAAGUAGGAGACUAUGUAGAGAGGUAGACCUUAUGAUAUCCUUAUCAGCAGUAUCACAUACAUAGUAGGUCCUUAAUUGUUGAAACAGAGACUGGAGGAGCAGAUUUUGGUAAAAGAUUGACAGUUUUAUUGAGAUAAUUUACCUAUGUAAGCAUCAUCUACUUAAAGUGUGCAAUUCAGUGGUUUUUACUAUAUGUACAGUUGUGCAACCAUCACCAUAAUCCAAUUUUAAAGUGUUCAUCCCCCCCCAAAAAAAAAAAACCUUGAACACAUUAGCAAUCACUCUCCAUAUCCCCCCAGGCCUAGAUAUCUACUAAUCUACUUUAUAUAUUUGCCUAUUAGAAAAGAUUUGGGGCUUCCCAAGUGGUGCAGUGGUUGAGAAUCCGCCUGCCAAUGCAGGGGACACGGGUUCGAGCCCUGGUCCGGGAAGAUCCCACAUGCCGCGGAGCAGCUAAGCCCAUGUGCCACAACUACUGAGCCUGCGCUCUAGAGCCCGCAAGCCACAACUGCUGGAGCCUGCGCGCCUAGAUCCCAUGCUCCACAACAAGAGAAGCCACCACAAUGAGAAGCCCGUGCACUGCAAUGAAGAGUAGCCCCUGCUCACCACAACUAGAGAAAGCCCGUGCACAGCAACGAAGACUCAACACAGCCAAAAAUAAAUAAAAAGAAAAGAUUUGAUCAACCCUUUAUAAUGGGUAUUGUGAAACUACAGAUAUAUUGUCCCAUUUACCAGUGGAAUAGUAUAUUUUAAUACUUGUAUUCCCCUGGAGGUUCCAGUUCUCCACAUACUGUCUUCCAGUACUACUAUGACCAAGGCUAGAGAGAGCAGUGGCAGCAAGGACCAUUUGUGAUCUUUGAAGUAUAAUUUUGGGUAGUAUGAUGAGAAUGAUAACCAUUAUACUGGGAACCAAGAACAAAAAAUGAGAGUAAGAUGGCACAUAGAAACUAGAUUUUCAAAAUUUAACAGUGAACAAGAAAAUCGGAUGAUAUUGUCUUACUAUGAACCAACUAUGCUGGCUACUUUCAGUUUCUUGUGAAUAACAAGCUUAAUGCAUACUCCUAACCCCCACACACCUCCUCUUCUGUUUAUGCUUCAAGGAUCAACAUACUUCUUCGUAGAGAAGCUUUUCCUAAUGCCUCCCUCUGAAAGACCUAUUGGGUCCCCAUAAUUUGUACCUUCUCACCAUCAGUUUCUCUUUCAUCAUAUGUUAUUUAUUUACCUACACAGACUGUGCUGUAAGCUAUGAAAGCAAGUAUUAUUGGGUUUUGUCUUGUUAGCCACCAUAAAUAUUGAAAGGGUAAAUUAAUAGGAGCUUUAGUAGUAGAUAGUACUAAGUAUCAAAGCACAUUUUUUUGUUUGUGUUUUUAAAAUUUGCGGGUUAAGGAACAUUUGUUCAUCUUUUAAGGCAGAGGGCAAGGAACAAGGAGACUGAGAAAUGUGGAAAUCCUACAGCAUAAUUCAAAGAUCUUAGGGAUGAUAUUGUGAGCAAAGGAUUAAUAGUAGCAGUUAGGAGGGUUAGGAUAAAGAAGGAAGACGAAUCAUCUUAGUUGACAUUAUUGCUGAGUGAAACACAUAUGAUGCCCAAGUUUUAGAUCUUAUUCUGCAGUCUGUUUACCUUAAAAAUCUGUUUAGAGCAGCGUUCUUAACUUGGUUCAGGGAUUUACCCUCCACGAGGUCAGUGAAUUGGAUAGGAAAAAAAUUCCAUCUUUAUUUUCAAGUACCUCUAACUGAACCUAGUUUUUCUUUUGUAAAUAUAGGCAACAAGUCCCCACUAGUUUUGGCAGUACCUAUGGCUUUGUCACCAAUAGAAAUCACAGGUGGUAUGGUCAGGAAAAAGACUACAAUGUGCUAGUCAUGGAUCUUCUUGGACCCAGCCUCGAAGACCUCUUCAAUUUCUGUUCAAGAAGGUUCACAAUGAAAACUGUACUUAUGUUAGCUGACCAGAUGAUCAGUAGAAUUGAAUAUGUGCAUACAAAGAAUUUUAUACACAGAGACAUUAAACCAGAUAACUUCUUAAUGGGUAUUGGGCGUCACUGUAAUAAGUGUUUAGAAUCUCCAGUGGGGAAGAGGAAAAGAAGCAUGACUGUUAGUACUUCUCAGGACCCAUCUUUCUCAGGAUUAAACCAGUUAUUCCUUAUUGAUUUUGGUUUGGCCAAAAAGUACAGAGACAACAGGACAAGGCAACACAUACCAUACAGAGAAGAUAAAAAUCUCACUGGCACUGCUCGAUAUGCUAGCAUCAAUGCACAUCUUGGUAUUGAACAGAGUCGCCGAGAUGACAUGGAAUCAUUAGGAUAUGUUUUGAUGUAUUUUAAUAGAACCAGCCUGCCAUGGCAAGGACUAAAGGCUGCAACAAAGAAGCAAAAGUAUGAAAAAAUUAGCGAAAAGAAGAUGUCCACACCUGUUGAAGUUUUAUGUAAGGGAUUUCCUGCAGAGUUUGCCAUGUACUUAAACUAUUGCCGUGGGCUGCGCUUUGAGGAAGCCCCGGAUUACAUGUACCUGAGGCAGCUAUUCCGCAUUCUUUUCAGGACCCUGAAUCACCAAUAUGACUACACAUUUGAUUGGACAAUGUUAAAGCAGAAAGCAGCACAGCAGGCAGCCUCUUCAAGUGGGCAGGGUCAGCAGGCCCAAACCCCCACAGGAACGUGGCUGGUCAUUCAGCAACGUAAACCAUAUCACAGGGGAAGACCUUGAAAUAUCUGGAGAGACUGCUCUGCUCCGAAUACUCUCAAUCCAAAGAGGUGCCGGGGAGCUGCAUCUGUUUGCUGAAAUUUUUGUCAGCUUUUUUUCACUGUGGACAAUAAAGCUGGAGAGAAAAUAACCCAACAGGAAAUAAAGAUGAGUGCUUAAGAGUUGAUUUGAAGUGAUCUGAAGCCCACCUCUCGAAGGCUUGCUGGACCUAUCAAACUUUUCAACUUGUCAGAUUGAAAACAACCGUCAGAAGACCUAGAAGAGUACAGUGUUGCUGUGACUCAGUGGUGUAUAACGCAGACCAUCUCCCAGUUGGGGAAGGAAUCAGUUGUAACAGGAACAAAUGGAUUCAUUCCUUCAUUCCUUAUUUUAACUGUUGCAGUGAAGAUGGGUUUUUGGACUUUAGAAACCAGGAGACACCACCUAAACUACAAGACAAACCAAGGACUAAUUGCACACUGAGGAAAAGAAUACUUAGUGCUUGAAGAUUGAAUCUUGAAUACCUGCUGAAUGCUCCUAUUGAGAUUUUUCCUAAACAAGCAUCUGUAACAUUUUAGGACAAUUCACCGGAGAAACAUUGAUCCCUGGGUGGAAUAUCCUACCAUUGGCCAGUCUGAAGAGUUAAAUCUGGAUUUGACUGCUCUAUUCUACCAGGAAUAUUGUUAGGCUAGCCUUUAACCAGCCCCUAAACAAUUGUAAUCAUUAAUUGACCCAGCAGUUCUUCAAAUAUCAGAUUAAAAGAUGAACAGAUACAAUUCUUAUCCCUAUUAAAGACACAAGAGUUUUCUAAUAUUUUGACUGACAAUGUAACUUAUGUUUUCUUUUUAGUUUGUUAGUGACAGUGGUUUUCAUUUUAAUGCUGUUUGGAUAUUCAACAUAGUACAGGUUUCCCCUGUCUGAAAGUAGGGCAUUCGAAACCUUUCCUAAGCUAAAAUGGCAUAAAGCAAAGAAGCAGUUACCUUAGGAUACAUGUUGCUGAUAAAUUGAGAUAAUGCAUAGAUGCUAGCAGACACAGUUCAAAGCUGUGGCGGCUUGAGGCUGAUGGUAAUUCCCAGGGAAAGAACUUGGUGGUGCCUUUAUCACUCCUCAGGAGUGCCAUUUUCACUACUCAGGGUGCAUGCUGCCUCUAGGUUUGCUGUGAAACGCUGAAUGCUAUUUUUGCUUUUUGCCUUUUUUCGUUAAAGCAAAAAAUCUUUGGUUAGUGAAAACAGGUACUAAUGUAGGCCUUUCAUAAAAUGUGAAGUGGCAUAAAGCGAACUUUUCGAAAAGUAGGGGGAAUACCACUAAUUAUUCAGUAUCAUGUAAUUGUGUAAAAAAGCUACAGUAAAAGAAAACCCAACAAUUUUAGUGGUUGUGAAAACAUUUUUAUUGUAUUUAAUGAUAAUUGCAGGACUUGAAACCAAAUGCUCCUCAGGAUAAGGGUCAUUGCUAUUUAGCUAAUCCAUAGUUUUAAUUUGCUUUAAAAUAUUCUGUAUUUUAACAUUGGAACUAAGUUACAGUAUAUGGUCAGAUUUUUAAAAAUUUAAUUCAGAUUUGAUUUGACAGCCUUUUCUUUUUGUGGUUUUACACUGCUAAUCCUGUUUAAUAUAACAGGCAUCAGAAACGUAGUAUUCCUGUGGCAAAGUACAUUUUCAGAAAGUUUCAUUAUCUUUCACUUUUGGCAUUUGCUUUAUGAACUUAGUGCUAGGACAGGCAGCAAAAGCCUGUUUUGCACCUACUCCGUAAUUAAGGCACUGUGGAGAGACAGAGAAUUACAACACUCACAUCUUUGUCUUCAGAGCUUGUCACAAUAUAGUUUUCAAAUGAAUGAAGAUGACUUUCUGCCCUCAAAUGAAAAAACAAAGGCAUACAUGCAUGAAAAGUAAAUUACAGAACUAUUUCAUUUAUCCUACAAAGCCUGCUGGAGAUGAUCCUGCAAAUGUUGAAGUAUCAAAAAAGGAGCAGCUUAUGAUUGACAAAAACAUGGUUUGUGCUGAGGAAUUGAGUGAUUAGAGUGAGCUAGAAUGAGCUAUAUAGGUUGGCUAUAAGAGGGAGGGGUUGGACCAAGGGUCAUUGAUGACUUAAAGGAGGCCUGUAGGUGAGAAGGUGCUGAUGGGAUUUUCAUGAUGUUGAGACAGCAUAUUCCCUUUAGCUAUAGAUAAAGCUUGUAGGUAUUAGAAAUGGGCGUAGGUAUUAGAAAUGGGCGUAUUUCCUCUGAUUGCAUUCAGCUGUAGAUAGAACAUGCAACUAUUAUGAUUACCUGAGCCUCCUAUUCAAACCUGCCUUUAUAUGGAAGCCCUGAGGUUUAAUUUGUGGAGGAGGAGAAGUGUAUUUACAGGGUGGGGAGGCUUUGAAAGUAAAGCCAGAAAGCCUCACUCAUUUACAUUUUCAAAUCAGUGGUAAAAAACUAUAGUCUUUUUAGUGUAACUGAUAGACGUAAAGAAUUUUUAAAGGUCUAAGGUUUCUGUAUAAAAAUCAUAUACUUAACUAGGUUUGUGUUCAGUGGAUUAACUCAGAUAAUUAUGCCUUGAAUACAUUUAUUAAAGGCUUUUGUUCCUCAUUUGUAUCAGAAAUAAUGUACAGAAAAGUUCCUGCUCACAGUAUGAUUAAAACUACUUUCUAGUUGUUAAGGCAAUCUUAUUUUUUAUUUAUUUGACUAAUAAACACAUAAUGUAUUCUAAGUACUAGAAAUACAGAAGUAAACAAAAACAGGCUUAUUGGAAUUCCCACUAAUUCUCUUGAGAACUGUAUGCUGGACGGGAAGGCUUUAAUUCACUGUAUACCACUCCUGGCUAGAAGCAUCCAGUACAGAAGUUUCCGGUUAUUUUAAUUUUAAACGCUAACCUGACCUAGUGAUUUUCAAAUAGAUGAAAAUAACAUAUGAGUUACCAUUCUAAAGUAAUUAUUUCCCUACUUUGGGUGUGGUUAAGAAAAUAUUUUUAACUUGGAGUUUAACAUUCUUUUUUUCUGUU
Molecule: RNA transcript, 6237 nt
Organism: Physeter macrocephalus (sperm whale)
Lineage: Eukaryota; Metazoa; Chordata; Mammalia; Artiodactyla; Physeteridae
Gene: CSNK1A1
Gene name: casein kinase 1 alpha 1
Exons: 11
Source: RefSeq, a predicted model, not a curated record